CCAGACUCCUACGGGAGGCAGCAGUGGGGAAUUUUGGACACUGGGCGCAAGCCUCCUCCAGCUAUUCCGCUUGUGGGAUGACGGCCCUCGGGUUGUCCCCCACUUUAGUAUCUCACGAAAAGGCGCUCUCGAAUACCUCUCUCUGCUGACUUUCCUCUAAGAAUCCUCCCCGGCUAACUCCUUUCCAGCAGCCUCGGUAAUACGUCGGGUUCGAGCGUUAAUCGGAAUUACUGGGCGUAAAGGGUGUGCAGGCGGCGGAGUAAGACAGAGGGGAAAUCCCCGGGAGUAACCUGGGAACUGCAUUCGAAACUGGCAGGCUGGAGUCUUGUAGAGGGGGGUAGAAUGCCAGGUGUAGCGGUGAAAUGCGUAGAGAGAGGGAGGAAUACCGGUGGCGAAGGCGGCCCCCUGGACAAAGGCUGACGCUCAGGUGCGAAAGCGUGGGGAGCAAACAGGAUUAGAUACCCGAGUA
Molecule: ribosomal RNA, 469 nt
Filed under: uncultured bacterium
Lineage: Bacteria
Description: bacterial SSU rRNA
Rfam family: Bacterial small subunit ribosomal RNA
Source: RNAcentral